RNAcentral lists this ribosomal RNA (539 nucleotides) under uncultured cyanobacterium. Its description in RNAcentral is "bacterial SSU rRNA". It matches the Rfam family "Bacterial small subunit ribosomal RNA", at positions 337 to 894 of the family's 1533-position model. The record is from RNAcentral. Lineage: Bacteria; Bacillati; Cyanobacteriota. RNAcentral also lists the same sequence under 1 other name.
UCCUACGGGAGGCAGCAGUGGGGAAUUUUCCGCAAUGGGCGAAAGCCUGACGGAGCAAUACCGCGUGAGGGAGGAAGGCUCUUGGGUUGUAAACCUCUUUUCUCAGGGAAGAAUAAUGACGGUACCUGAGGAAUAAGCAUCGGCUAACUCCGUGCCAGCAGCCGCGGUAAUACGGAGGAUGCAAGCGUUAUCCGGAAUUAUUGGGCGUAAAGCGUCUGUAGGUGGAUAUUCAAGUCUGCUGUCAAAGCCCGGGGCUUAACCCUGGAAAGGCAGUGGAAACUGAAGAUUUAGAGUGCGGUAGGGGCAGAGGGAAUUCCCAGUGUAGCGGUGAAAUGCGUAGAGAUUGGGAAGAACACCGGUGGCGAAAGCGCUCUGCUGGGCCUGCACUGACACUGAGGGACGAAAGCUAGGGGAGCGAAUGGGAUUAGAUACCCCAGUAGUCCUAGCCGUAAACGAUGGAUACUAGGCGUAGCUUGUAUCGACCCAAGCUGUGCCGUAGCUAACGCGUUAAGUUCCCGCGUGGGAUAACCCCACCGGGG